GACGUACACAAGGGGCUUGAGCGUUCUGUGGAGAGAGUGCGAGGUCAGGCCAUGAACUUGGGAGAUGGUUUAAAGCUUGAAACUGAAUUACUGGAUGGAAAAACCAAGCUAAUAUUGUCUCCAUAUGAACAUAAAUCAAAAAUUUCUGUGAAGAUGGGAAAUAAGGCCAAGAUUGCAAAAUGUCCUUUAAGAACAAAAACUGGGCACAUUCUAAAAUCAACACAAGAUACUUGUAUUGGGAGUGAAAAACUUUUGCAAAAGAAGCCAGUUGGUUCAGAAACAUCACAGGCAAAAGGUGAAAAAAAUGGAAUGACUUUUUCAUCCACUAAGGAUUUAUGUAAACAAUGUAUAGAUAAAGACUGUCUUCAUAUCCAGAAAGAGAUUUCACCUGCAACCCCUAAUAUGCAGAAGACUAGAAACACCGUAAAUACAUCUCUAGUAGGUAAACAGAAGCCUCACAAAAAACACAUCACAGCUGAAAACAUGAAGAGCAGUUUGGUGUGUCUAACACAAGACCAACUACAACAGAUUUUGAUGACUGUAAACCAAGGAAAUAGAUCUCUUUCCCUGACUGAGAAUGGAAAGGAGGCAAAAAGUCAAUAUAGUCUAUAUUUAAACAGUAUUUCUAAUCAGCCAAAGGAUGAGAACAUUAUGGGAUUAUUCAAAAAAACUGAAAUGGUUUCAUCUGUCCCAGCUGAAAAUAAAUCUGUCUUAAAUGAACAUCAGGAGACAUCUAAACAGUGUGAGCAAAAAAUUGCCAUGUAUGUAACUCCUAUCUGUUGUUAUUGUGUGGUCAUCUUCAGAAUAUGGUUUUGCUUUUCCUUUACUUGCAUGUGAAAUAGUUACUCUGAAUACUUAGAGCUAUUUAAAAGCUUAUUACUUAAUAUUUAUGGAGUCAGUUGUGUAGAAAUGUAUGAUACAGUUUCUGUUAUCUUUUGUGUUUUACCUUAGAGAGAAUGAAUGGAAACCAGCUGAUAUAUUCAGUACUCUGGGGGAAAGGGAAUGUGAUAGAAGUUCGUUGGAAGCAAAAAAAGCCCAGUGGAGGAAAGAGCUAGGUAGGUAACUUUUAUACCUUUAUUAUAGUUUUAUUGGCUUAAAGAAUAUGUAUUGAAGCCGGGCACGGUGGCUCACACCUGUAAUACCAGCACUUUGGGAAGCCGAGGUGGGUGGAUCAGGAGGGCAAGAGAUCAAGACCAUCCUGGCCAACAUGGUGAAAUCCCAUCUCUACUAAAAAUAUAAAAAUUAGCUGGGCGUGGUGGUGCACGCCUGUAAUCCCAGCUACUCGGGAGGCUGAGGCAGGAGAAUUGCUUGAACCUGGGAGGCAGAGGUUGCAGUGAGCCAAGAUCGUGCCACUGCACUCCAGCUGGGCUACCGAGCAAGACUC
RNAcentral lists this long non-coding RNA (1384 nucleotides) under Homo sapiens (human). Its description in RNAcentral is "long non-coding RNA NONHSAT193924.1". Lineage: Eukaryota; Metazoa; Chordata; Mammalia; Primates; Hominidae. The record is from RNAcentral.